CAGCCGCCGCGGGAAUACGAAGGGGGCUAGCGUUGUUCGGAAUUACUGGGCGUAAAGCGCACGUAGGCGGAUCUUUAAGUCAGAGGUGAAAUCCCAAGGCUCAACCUUGGAACUGCCUUUGAUACUGGGGAUCUUGAGUCCGGAAGAGGUGAGUGGAACUGCGAGUGUAGAGGUGAAAUUCGUAGAUAUUCGCAAGAACACCAGUGGCGAAGGCGGCUCACUGGUCCGGUACUGACGCUGAGGUGCGAAAGCGUGGGGAGCAAACAGGAUUAGAUACCCCGGUAGUCCCUGUCUCUUAUAC
This 301-nucleotide ribosomal RNA is filed under the name uncultured bacterium. RNAcentral's name for it is "partial 16S ribosomal RNA". It matches the Rfam family "Bacterial small subunit ribosomal RNA", at positions 509 to 807 of the family's 1533-position model. The record is from RNAcentral.